RNAcentral lists this ribosomal RNA (253 nucleotides) under uncultured bacterium. RNAcentral's name for it is "partial 16S ribosomal RNA". It matches the Rfam family "Bacterial small subunit ribosomal RNA", at positions 524 to 776 of the family's 1533-position model. The record is from RNAcentral.
UACGUAGGGGGCAAGCGUUGUCCGGAUUCAUUGGGCGUAAAGAGCGUGUAGGCGGCCAGGUAGGUCGGUUGUGAAAACUGGAGGCUCAACCUCGAGACGUCGAUGGAAACCAUCUGGCUAGAGUUCGGAAGAGGCGAGUGGAAUUCCCGGUGUAGCGGUGAAAUGCGCAGAUAUCGGGAGGAACACCAAUGGCGAAGGCAGCUCGCUGGGACGUUACUGACGCUGAGACGCGAAAGCGUGGGGAGCAAACAGG